This 207-nucleotide ribosomal RNA is filed under the name uncultured bacterium. RNAcentral describes it as "partial 16S ribosomal RNA". It matches the Rfam family "Bacterial small subunit ribosomal RNA", at positions 568 to 774 of the family's 1533-position model. The record is from RNAcentral.
UGUGUAGGUGGUUUAGUUAGUCUUCCGUUAAAGAUCCGGGCUCAACCCGGAAAAUGCGGAGGAAACGGCUAAACUAGAGAGUGAGAGAGGUGUACGGAACUCAUGGUGUAGGAGUGAAAUCCGUUGAUAUCAUGGGGAACACCAAAGGCGAAGGCAGUACACUGGCUCAUUUCUGACACUGAGACACGAAAGCGUGGGUAGCGAACG